GAAUAUUGGUCAAUGGACGGAAGUCUAAACCAGCCAUGCCGCGUGGAGGAUGAAGGUCCUCUGGAUUAUAAACUUCUUUUAUAGGGGGAGAAAAAGGGUCUUUAAAGAUCAACUGACGGUACCCUAUGAAUAAGCACCGGCUAACUCCGUGCCAGCAGCCGCGGUAAUACGGAGGGUGCAAGCGUUAUCCGGAUUCACUGGGUUUAAAGGGAGCGUAGGCGGGCAGUUAAGUCCGUGGUGAAAGCCCUCAGCUCAACUGAGGAACUGCCAUGGAUACUAAUUGUCUUGAAUGUCGUUGAGGUUUGCGGAAUGGGUCAUGUAGCGGUGAAAUGCAUAGAUAUGACCCGGAACACCAAUUGCGAAGGCAGCAGGCUAAACGAAUAUUGACGCUGAGGCUCGAAAGCGUGGGGAUCAAACAGG
RNAcentral lists this ribosomal RNA (420 nucleotides) under uncultured bacterium. Its description in RNAcentral is "bacterial SSU rRNA". It matches the Rfam family "Bacterial small subunit ribosomal RNA", at positions 359 to 776 of the family's 1533-position model. The record is from RNAcentral.